RNAcentral lists this long non-coding RNA (222 nucleotides) under Lathyrus oleraceus (garden pea). Its description in RNAcentral is "Pisum sativum (pea) long non-coding RNA (PSAT_LNC014575)". The record is from RNAcentral. Lineage: Eukaryota; Viridiplantae; Streptophyta; Magnoliopsida; Fabales; Fabaceae.
AACAAAUAAAGGUCAAACUUCAAAUCCAAUUCAAAUCAACUUGGAUAAGUCCAAUUGGAUCAUCAUAAGUCUAACAUGGUCAAACAAGGUUUGACAAAUUUUCUCAACAUUUUUUGAAAACAGAAACUAUUUUUAAACAAUUAAAAAUGAAGAAAAAUAACAUAAUUGGACUAAAAUCUCAAAUAAAUCUCAAAUCAAUUAAGAAAUUGAUGAGAAUAUUUU